This 574-nucleotide ribosomal RNA is filed under the name Priestia flexa. RNAcentral's name for it is "bacterial SSU rRNA". It matches the Rfam family "Bacterial small subunit ribosomal RNA", at positions 56 to 611 of the family's 1533-position model. The record is from RNAcentral. Lineage: Bacteria; Bacillati; Bacillota; Bacilli; Caryophanales; Bacillaceae.
UGCAAGUCGAGCGAACUGAUUAGAAGCUUGCUUCUAUGACGUUAGCGGCGGACGGGUGAGUAACACGUGGGCAACCUGCCUGUAAGACUGGGAUAACUUCGGGAAACCGAAGCUAAUACCGGAUAGGAUCUUCUCCUUCAUGGGAGAUGAUUGAAAGAUGGUUUCGGCUAUCACUUACAGAUGGGCCCGCGGUGCAUUAGCUAGUUGGUGAGGUAACGGCUCACCAAGGCAACGAUGCAUAGCCGACCUGAGAGGGUGAUCGGCCACACUGGGACUGAGACACGGCCCAGACUCCUACGGGAGGCAGCAGUAGGGAAUCUUCCGCAAUGGACGAAAGUCUGACGGAGCAACGCCGCGUGAGUGAUGAAGGCUUUCGGGUCGUAAAACUCUGUUGUUAGGGAAGAACAAGUACAAGAGUAACUGCUUGUACCUUGACGGUACCUAACCAGAAAGCCACGGCUAACUACGUGCCAGCAGCCGCGGUAAUACGUAGGUGGCAAGCGUUAUCCGGAAUUAUUGGGUGUAAAGCGCGCGCAGGCGGUUUCUUAAGUCUGAUGUGAAAGCCCACGGCUCA